GACGAACCGUCCAAACGUUAUUCGGAAUCACUGGGCUUACAGAGUUCGUAGGCGGUCCGGAAAGUUGGGUGUGAAAUCCCUCGGCCUAACCGAGGAACUGCGCUUGAAACUACCAGACUCGAGGGAGAUAGAGGAAAGCGGAACUGAUGGUGGAGCGGUGAAAUGCGUUGAUAUCAGGAAGAACACCCGUGGCUAAGGCGGCUCUCUAGUACGGUACUGACGCUGAGACGCGAAAGCGUGGGGAGCGAACAGG
RNAcentral lists this ribosomal RNA (253 nucleotides) under uncultured bacterium. RNAcentral's name for it is "partial 16S ribosomal RNA". It matches the Rfam family "Bacterial small subunit ribosomal RNA", at positions 524 to 776 of the family's 1533-position model. The record is from RNAcentral.